CCACCAAUUAACAAUCUUUAGACUUAAUCAAGAAUCACUUUUGAAUCAAAAAUUAUUUUUUAUCUGCAAUAGUAAUAAAUGCCAGAAACAACAUACAGAUGGGAUAAAAGUUGCAUUUUCAGAAACCAAUCGGACUAGAGGAAAAUAAAGGGAUGAAGAAAGAUCUUUUGUAAAAAAAGGGAAAUCGCACCUUGUGUGAUGCAACAGAACUAGGAUUUUUUGUCAAAAAUUUUGCCCAUAAACUCAACCUGGAAUCCCAAAUUUUGACAAAAAUUAGAAGGAAGCUAGCGAUCUUUUAGGAGGCUCUUUUUCUUCACUAGUUUUUCCGUCAGUGCUCAAUCUUUUCCUUGUUUUAAAAUGCUCUUUUUACUCAUUUUCUUGUUAUUCUUUUGUGAAUUUAUUUUGAUUGUUUUUCCAUGGAUUUGAAGCUUCAAGACUUUCUUUUUGUACAUUUUUGAGACUUACUCACUGGUUUUUACUCUUCUCUUUCCCACCGAUUUGAAGCCUAUUCUCUGGAGGUGGAGAGCUCACUAUUUAUAGGUGCGAAUUCAAACUUGAAAAUCUGGAUUUGAAACCUUAGAAUAAAAAAAAGGAAAAAGAAAAGAUGGAUUUUGAAUUCAAAUCCAAAAACCUCUUUCAAAUCUCAGCUUUUUCAGGCUAUUAAUGGUAGAUUUGAAACCGAAAUUAGGUUGUUGCAUCGAUUAGGGACCUGUCCAUUCUAUUUUUUAGACUGAUAGGAUGGAGGAAAGAAUUUAGAGAAAUCUCGCAUUCUAGCGGCUAGGCUGCGGUAGCUAUGGCCACUAGACAUUUUGAUUUGGGGUGGUGGUAGAUAACACGAUGAAGAGAGGGAGGGGAAGGUGGCCUGAUUUAUAUUUUUUGGGUAAUAAGAUGAAUAUAGAAUGGGUUCUUCGGAAAUGG
This 918-nucleotide long non-coding RNA is filed under the name Capsicum annuum. RNAcentral describes it as "long non-coding RNA (CANN_LNC012470)". Lineage: Eukaryota; Viridiplantae; Streptophyta; Magnoliopsida; Solanales; Solanaceae. The record is from RNAcentral.